This is a long non-coding RNA of Polypterus senegalus (gray bichir), 596 nucleotides long. RefSeq lists it as uncharacterized. The transcript is spliced from 2 exons. The record is from RefSeq and is a predicted model, not a curated record. Lineage: Eukaryota; Metazoa; Chordata; Cladistia; Polypteriformes; Polypteridae.
AACUCUUUUCUUUCCAAUACUCUUACUUGCUAUCUCCAAGAAGCAACAGUGUUAAUGUUUGUGAAUGAGAAAACUGAAUCUCUGUGGCUCUAUAUCGAUUCUCAGGAGGUUGAAUAAUAUAAAGAAAGACAAACCCAACCUUGUUUCCAAUGGGAAAAAAUAACAGCAAUGCCAAAAAUUAGGAGGGGUCCAGGAGCAUCUCAAGAUGGACACACACCAGAAAGAACCCACAAGCUGACAGGACUCCACUCAGCUCAGUAUGACUUCCUGUUAUCCCUUUUGGUCACCUGAACUCAACAUACUAUAAAGGGUGAACAGAAAAGGCGAAAGGGCAAUAAGGAAAGGGGCUCUGUGGAAACUGUACUCUGCUAACUAGUGAUGAAGCUAUUGAAAAUGUUUAAAACACUUGUUUAUGAGAAACAGCUAUUUUAAAAGAGGUCAACUCUGAUAAACAAGAGACUAAGAACAAUAUUUACUUUGCUGUACACUUUCUUUUCCUUAUUUUAUGUGAAAAAGAACAUUGUUAAAGUAAUGCCAUAUGGAUAGAUUUGAGUCAGUCAUUAAAGAACUGGUGUUUUGGUUGGUUGAUCAUCCAA